RNAcentral lists this ribosomal RNA (468 nucleotides) under uncultured bacterium. RNAcentral's name for it is "partial 16S ribosomal RNA". It matches the Rfam family "Bacterial small subunit ribosomal RNA", at positions 28 to 507 of the family's 1533-position model. The record is from RNAcentral.
GACGAACGCUGGCGGCGUGCUUAACACAUGCAAGUCGAACGGAAAGGCCCUGCUUUUGUGGGGUGCUCGAGUGGCGAACGGGUGCGUAACACGUGAGUAACCUGCCCUUGACUUUGGGAUAACUUCAGGAAACUGGGGCUAAUACCGUAUAGGAGCUCCUGCUGCAUGGUGGGGGUUGGAAAUUUUCGGCGGGUGGGGAUGGACUCGCGGCUUAUCAGCUUGUUGGUGGGGUAGUGGCUUACCAAGGCUUUGACGGGUAGCCGGCCUGAGAGGGUGACCGGCCACAUUGGGACUGAGAGACGGCCCAGACUCCUACGGGGGGCAGCAGGGGGGAAUAUUGCACAAUGGGCGGAAGCCUGAUGCAGCAACGCCGCGUGUGGGAUGACGGCCUUCGGGUUGUAAACCGCUUUAGCCUGUGACGAAGCGUGAGUGACGGUAAUGGGUAAAGAAGCACCGGCUAACUACGUG